This 497-nucleotide ribosomal RNA is filed under the name uncultured bacterium. RNAcentral describes it as "partial 16S ribosomal RNA". It matches the Rfam family "Bacterial small subunit ribosomal RNA", at positions 28 to 507 of the family's 1533-position model. The record is from RNAcentral.
GAUGAACGCUGGCGGCGUGCCUAAUACAUGCAAGUCGAGCGAACAGACGAGGAGCUUGCUCCUCUGACGUUAGCGGCGGACGGGUGAGUAACACGUGGAUAACCUACCUAUAAGACUGGGAUAACUUCGGGAAACCGGAGCUAAUACCGGAUAAUAUAUUGAACCGCAUGGUUCAAUAGUGAAAGACGGUUUUGCGGGCACGUAUAGAUGGAUCCGCGCCGCAUUAGCUAGUUGGUAAGGUAACGGCUUACCAAGGCAACGAUGCGUAGCCGACCUGAGAGGGUGAUCGGCCACACUGGAACUGAGACACGGUCCAGACUCCUACGGGAGGCAGCAGUAGGGAAUCUUCCGCAAUGGGCGAAAGCCUGACGGAGCAACGCCGCGUGAGUGAUGAAGGUCUUCGGAUCGUAAAACUCUGUUAUUAGGGAAGAACAAAUGUGUAAGUAACUAUGCACAUCUUGACGGUACCUAAUCAGAAAGCCACGGCUAACUACGUG